RNAcentral lists this ribosomal RNA (433 nucleotides) under uncultured bacterium. RNAcentral's name for it is "partial 16S ribosomal RNA". It matches the Rfam family "Bacterial small subunit ribosomal RNA", at positions 29 to 507 of the family's 1533-position model. The record is from RNAcentral.
AACGAACGCUGGCGGCAUGCCUAACACAUGCAAGUCGAACGAGACCUUCGGGUCUAGUGGCGCACGGGUGCGUAACGCGUGGGAACCUGCCCUUAGGUUCGGAAUAACUCCCCGAAAGGGGUGCUAAUACCGGAUAAUGUCUUCGGACCAAAGAUUUAUCGCCUUUGGAUGGGCCCGCGUUGGAUUAGCUAGUUGGUAGGGUAAAAGCCUACCAAGGCGACGAUCCAUAGCUGGUCUGAGAGGAUGAUCAGCCACACUGGGACUGAGACACGGCCCAGACUCCUACGGGAGGCAGCAGUGGGGAAUAUUGGACAAGGGGCGAAAGCCUGAUCCAGCAAUGCCGCGUGAGUGAUGAAGGCCUUAGGGUUGUAAAGCUCUUUUACCCGGGAUGAUAAUGUCAGUACCGGGAGAAUAAGCUCCGGCUAACUCCGUG